AGGUUUAUUCUCCCACCCAUCUCCGCCGACCUCUCUCCUUCCCAAGCCUCCCGAUUUCCCCCUCCCGAUCUCCUCCUUCUCCUCACAUUUCGCCCGAGAUCUCCUCCCUUUUCCUCGCGAUUCCUCCCCUAACUCGCAACGCCGACCAUGUGCUGCUUCGAUUCACCGAUCGUCGGACAUCCAUGAGCAGCCAAUGCUGGCCACCGAUUCUUGAGCCCUAGCUCCCGAUUGCUGCUGCUUCAUCGAUGAGCCACAGCCGCCGAGCCACCAGCACCGAGUCUCCUUCCCUCCCGAGCUGCACAUCACCGGCCGCCUACCUUCUUCCCUUGUCCUCGCACGAACACCUCUCACUGAUGCUGAUUCUUGAGAGCAUCCGAGUGCCACCCGGGUGCUGCUUCUCGAAGCAACGCCGUCGUCUCCCUCUCGAGGGUGUUCUUCCUCUUCGAGCCGAGCCCUAGAGGCCGUUUCUCCUCUCCUCAUCACCAGAUUUGGAUCAAGGAGGUCCAACGACGUUUUCUCACCAAAUUAUGGAGUAUUCAAGUUCAUCCUCCGACCGUCCAUCUUGUUCCAACACCAGUACGGGAUCCUAUGCCCUAGCAACGAUCUCUAGACGAUCACUUUGGAGCUCUACUUAGCAUCGGUUGUUAUUUUCCAGCAGCGACAUUCUUCAGUCGCGAAUCAUCAGUUGGGGCAUCCGGAUUUGGAGGAUUUGGAUUCGGGAUGAGCGUCUCGAUACGGGAUUACUUGGCACGAUCU
Zingiber officinale is the source of this 756-nucleotide long non-coding RNA. RefSeq lists it as uncharacterized. The record is from RefSeq and is a predicted model, not a curated record. NCBI's taxonomy places the organism in Eukaryota, Viridiplantae, Streptophyta, Magnoliopsida, Zingiberales, Zingiberaceae. The transcript has 3 exons.